UAACACGUGGGCAACCUGCCCCCGACCCUGGGAUAACCCCGGGAAACCGGAGCUAAUACCGGAUACUCUCCUCUGACCACCUGGUCGGAUGAGGAAAGGUCCGCCGGUCGGGGAUGGGCCCGCGGCCUAUCAGCUUGUUGGUGGGGUAACGGCCUACCAAGGCAUCGACGGGUAGCUGGUCUGAGAGGACGACCAGCCACACUGGGACUGAGACACGGCCCAGACUCCUACGGGAGGCAGCAGUGGGGAAUCUUGCGCAAUGGGCGAAAGCCUGACGCAGCGACACCGCGUGGGGGAUGAAGGCCUUUCAGGUCGUAAACCCCUUUCGGCAGGGACGAAGCGAUCUCGUGACGGUACCUGCAGAAGAAGCCUCGGCUAACUACGUGCCAGCAGCCGCGGUAACACGUAGGAGGCGAGCGUUGUCCGGAAUCAUUGGGCGUAAAGAGCGCGCAGGCGGCUUGGCAAGUCGAGUGUGAAAUCCCGGGGCUCAACCCCGGGACUGCAUCCGAUACUGUCAGGCUAGAGGUAGGUAGGGGAGAUCGGAAUUCCUGGUGUAGCGGUGAAAUGCGCAGAUAUCAGGAGGAACACCGGUGGCGAAGGCGGAUCUCUGGGCCUUACCUGACGCUCAGGCGCGAAAGCUAGGGGAGCGAACAGG
Molecule: ribosomal RNA, 655 nt
Filed under: uncultured Actinomycetes bacterium
Lineage: Bacteria; Bacillati; Actinomycetota; Actinomycetes
Description: bacterial SSU rRNA
Rfam family: Bacterial small subunit ribosomal RNA
Source: RNAcentral